UGUGUGUUAGUGGAAGCGUCUGGAAAGGCGCGCGAUACAGGGUGACAGCCCCGUACACAAAAAUGCACAUGCUGUGAGCUCGAUGAGUAGGGCGGGACACGUGGUAUCCUGUCUGAAUAUGGGGGGACCAUCCUCCAAGGCUAAAUACUCCUGACUGACCGAUAGUGAACCAGUACCGUGAGGGAAAGGCGAAAAGAACCCCGGCGAGGGGAGUGAAAAAGAACCUGAAACCGUGUACGUACAAGCAGUGGGAGCACGCUUAGGCGUGUGACUGCGUACCUUUUGUAUAAUGGGUCAGCGACUUAUAUUCUGUAGCAAGGUUAACCGAAUAGGGGAGCCGAAGGGAAACCGAGUCUUAACUGGGCGUUAAGUUGCAGGGUAUAGACCCGAAACCCGGUGAUCUAGCCAUGGGCAGGUUGAAGGUUGGGUAACACUAACUGGAGGACCGAACCGACUAAUGUUGAAAAAUUAGCGGAUGACUUGUGGCUGGGGGUGAAAGGCCAAUCAAACCGGGAGAUAGCUGGUUCUCCCCGAAAGCUAUUUAGGUAGCGCCUCGUGAAUUCAUCUCCGGGGGUAGAGCACUGUUUCGGCAAGGGGGUCAUCCCGACUUACCAACCCGAUGCAAACUGCGAAUACCGGAGAAUGUUAUCACGGGAGACACACGGCGGGUGCUAACGUCCGUCGUGAAGAGGGAAACAACCCAGACCGCCAGCUAAGGUCCCAAAGUCAUGGUUAAGUGGGAAACGAUGUGGGAAGGCCCAGACAGCCAGGAUGUUGGCUUAGAAGCAGCCAUCAUUUAAAGAAAGCGUAAUAGCUCACUGGUCGAGUCGGCCUGCGCGGAAGAUGUAACGGGGCUAAACCAUGCACCGAAGCUGCGGCAGCGACGCUGAUGCGUUGUUGGGUAGGGGAGCGUUCUGUAAGCCUGCGAAGGUGUGCUGUGAGGCAUGCUGGAGGUAUCAGAAGUGCGAAUGCUGACAUAAGUAACGAUAAAGCGGGUGAAAAGCCCGCUCGCCGGAAGACCAAGGGUUCCUGUCCAACGUUAAUCGGGGCAGGGUGAGUCGACCCCUAAGGCGAGGCCGAAAGGCGUAGUCGAUGGGAAACAGGUUAAUAUUCCUGUACUUGGUGUUACUGCGAAGGGGGGACGGAGAAGGCUAUGUUGGCCGGGCGACGGUUGUCCCGGUUUAAGCGUGUAGGCUGGUUUUCCAGGCAAAUCCGGAAA
Molecule: ribosomal RNA, 1219 nt
Filed under: Escherichia coli
Lineage: Bacteria; Pseudomonadati; Pseudomonadota; Gammaproteobacteria; Enterobacterales; Enterobacteriaceae
Description: partial 23S ribosomal RNA
Rfam family: Bacterial large subunit ribosomal RNA
Source: RNAcentral